GACUGACACUCCUACGGGAGGCAGCAGUCGGGGAAUAUUGCACAAUGGGGGAAACCCUGAUGCAGCCAUGCCGCGUGUGUGAAGAAGGCCUUCGGGUUGUAAAGCACUUUCAGUAGGGAGGAAGGUAGUGUAGUUAACACCUGCAUUAUUUGACGUUACCUACAGAAGAAGCACCGGCUAACUCCGUGCCAGCAGCCGCGGUAAUACGGAGGGUGCGAGCGUUAAUCGGAAUUACUGGGCGUAAAGCGCAUGCAGGCGGCCUGUUAAGUCAGAUGUGAAAGCCCCGGGGCUUAACCUCGGAAUUGCAUUUGAAACUGGCAGGCUAGAGUCUUGUAGAGGGGGUAGAAUUUCAGGUGUAGCGGUGAAAUGCGUAGAGAUCUGAAGGAAUACCAGUGGCGAAGGCGGCCCCCUGGACAAAGACUGACGCUCAGAUGCGAAAGCGUGGGGAGCAAACAGGAUUAGAUACCCUGGUAG
This 474-nucleotide ribosomal RNA is filed under the name uncultured bacterium. RNAcentral's name for it is "bacterial SSU rRNA". It matches the Rfam family "Bacterial small subunit ribosomal RNA", at positions 328 to 793 of the family's 1533-position model. The record is from RNAcentral.